RNAcentral lists this microRNA precursor (93 nucleotides) under Marmota monax (woodchuck). The record is from RNAcentral. Lineage: Eukaryota; Metazoa; Chordata; Mammalia; Rodentia; Sciuridae.
AGUUGAGUUGCUGGAUUAUAUGGAAACUCUGUUUGAGAAACUAGCAGACUGUUUUCCAAAGUGGCUGUACUAUUUUAUGUUUUCAUCAGCAGU